AUUGAACGCUGGCGGCAUGCUUUACACAUGCAAGUCGGACGGCAGCACAGAGACGCUUGCUUCUUGGGUGGCGAGUGGCGAACGGGUGAGUAAUAUAUCGGAACGUACCGAGUAAUGGGGGAUAACUAAUCGAAAGAUUAGCUAAUACCGCAUAUUCUCUGAGGAGGAAAGCAGGGGACCUUCGGGCCUUGCGUUAUUCGAGCGGCCGAUAUCUGAUUAGCUAGUUGGUGGGGUAAAGGCCUACCAAGGCGACGAUCAGUAGCGGGUCUGAGAGGAUGAUCCGCCACACUGGGACUGAGACACGGCCCAGACUCCUACGGGAGGCAGCAGUGGGGAAUUUUGGACAAUGGGCGCAAGCCUGAUCCAGCCAUGCCGCGUGUCUGAAGAAGGCCUUCGGGUUGUAAAGGACUUUUGUCAGGGAAGAAAAGGCUGUUGCUAAUACCGACAGCUGAUGACGGUACCUGAAGAAUAGGCACCGGCUAACUACGUG
RNAcentral lists this ribosomal RNA (490 nucleotides) under uncultured bacterium. RNAcentral describes it as "partial 16S ribosomal RNA". It matches the Rfam family "Bacterial small subunit ribosomal RNA", at positions 30 to 507 of the family's 1533-position model. The record is from RNAcentral.